GAUGAACGCUGGCGGUAUGCUUAACACAUGCAAGUCGAACGGUCACUUCGGUGAUAGUGGCGGACGGGUGAGUAACGCGUGAGAAUCUGUCUUCAGGUCGGGGACGACAGUUAGAAAUGACUGCUAAUACCGGAUGUGCCUUUGGGUGAAAGAUUUAUUGCCUGAAAAAGAGCUCGCGUCAGAUUAGCUAGUAGGUGGUGUAAGAGACUACCUAGGCUCCGAUCUGUAGCUGGUCUGAGAGGACGAUCAGCCACACUGGAACUGAGACACGGUCCAGACUCCUACGGGAGGCAGCAGUGGGGAAUUUUCCGCAAUGGGCGAAAGCCUGACGGAGCAAUACCGCGUGAGGGACGAAGGCUUUUGGGUCGUAAACCUCUUUUCUCAAGGAAGAUGAUGACGGUACUUGAGGAAUAAGCAUCGGCUAACUCUGUG
This 432-nucleotide ribosomal RNA is filed under the name uncultured bacterium. RNAcentral's name for it is "partial 16S ribosomal RNA". It matches the Rfam family "Bacterial small subunit ribosomal RNA", at positions 28 to 507 of the family's 1533-position model. The record is from RNAcentral.